CAAGACGGAAAGACCCCGUGAACCUUUACUAUAGCUUGACACUGAACAUUGAGCCUUGAUGUGUAGGAUAGGUGGGAGGCUUUGAAGCGUGGACGCCAGUCUGCGUGGAGCCGGCCUUGAAAUACCACCCUUUAAUGUUUGAUGUUCUAACGUGGACCCGUGAUCCGGGUUGCGGACAGUGUCUGGUGGGUAGUUUGACUGGGGCGGUCUCCUCCUAAAGAGUAACGGAGGAGCACGAAGGUUGGCUAAUCCUGGUCGGACAUCAGGAGGUUAGUGCAAUGGCAUAAGCCAGCUUGACUGCGAGCGUGACGGCGCGAGCAGGUGCGAAAGCAGGUCAUAGUGAUCCGGUGGUUCUGAAUGGAAGGGCCAUCGCUCAACGGAUAAAAGGUACUCCGGGGAUAACAGGCUGAUACCGCCCAAGAGUUCAUAUCGACGGCGGUGUUUGGCACCUCGAUGUCGGCUCAUCACAUCCUGGGGCUGAAGUAGGUCCCAAGGGUAUGGCUGUUCGCCAUUUAAAGUGGUACGCGAGCUGGGUUUAGAACGUCGUGAGACAGUUCGGUCCCUAUCUGCCGUGGGCGCUGGAGAACUGAGGGGGGCUGCUCCUAGUACGAGAGGACCGGAGUGGACGCAUCACUGGUGUUCGGGUUGUCAUGCCAAUGGCACUGCCCGGUAGCUAAAUGCGGAAGAGAUAAGUGCUGAAAGCAUCUAAGCACGAAACUUGCCCCGAGAUGAGUUCUCCCUGAGACUUAAAGUCUCCUGAAGGAACGUUGAAGACGACGACGUUGAUAGGCCGGGUGUGUAAGCGCAGCGAUGCGUUGAGCUAACCGGUACUAAUGAACCGUGAGGCUUAACCUUACAACGCCGAAG
Molecule: ribosomal RNA, 867 nt
Filed under: Salmonella enterica
Lineage: Bacteria; Pseudomonadati; Pseudomonadota; Gammaproteobacteria; Enterobacterales; Enterobacteriaceae
Description: partial 23S ribosomal RNA
Rfam family: Bacterial large subunit ribosomal RNA
Source: RNAcentral